This 913-nucleotide ribosomal RNA is filed under the name uncultured bacterium. RNAcentral's name for it is "bacterial SSU rRNA". It matches the Rfam family "Bacterial small subunit ribosomal RNA", at positions 504 to 1414 of the family's 1533-position model. The record is from RNAcentral.
UGUCCCAGCCGCCGCGGUAAUACGGGGGGGGCAAGCGUUGUUCGGAAUUACUGGGCGUAAAGGGCGCGUAGGCGGCGCAGGAAGUCAUGGGUGAAAUCCCUCGGCUUAACCGGGGAAUGGCCUGUGAAACCACUGAGCUAGAGUGCUGGAGAGAAAAGUGGAAUUCCUAGUGUAGCGGUGAAAUGCGUAGAUAUUAGGAGGAACACCCGAGGCGAAGGCGGCUUUCUGGACAGACACUGACGCUGAGGCGCGAAAGCCAGGGGAGCAAACGGGAUUAGAUACCCCGGUAGUCCUGGCUGUAAACGAUGAGCACUUGGUGUAGGGGGUGCAUUCAGUCCCUCUGUGCCGAAGAUAACUCGGUAAGUGCUCCGCCUGGGGAGUACGGCCGCAAGGCUGAAACUCAAAGGAAUUGACGGGGGCCCGCACAAGCGGUGGAGCAUGUGGUUUAAUUCGACGCAACGCGAAGAACCUUACCGGGGUUUGAACUGCACCGGCAAUUUUCAGAGAUGAAGAGUUCCUUCGGGUCUGGUGUAGAGGUGCUGCAUGGCUGUCGUCAGCUCGUGUCGUGAGAUGUUGGGUUAAGUCCCGCAACGAGCGCAACCCUUGUUUGUAGUUGCCAUCAGGUGAAGCUGGGCACUCUACGGAGACUGUCGGCGAAAAGCCGGAGGAAGGUGGGGAUGACGUCAAGUCCUCAUGGCCUUUAUGUCCCGGGCUACACACGUGCUACAAUGGGCGGAACAAAGGGCAGCGAACUCGCAAGAGUCAGCGAAUCCCAAAAAUCCGCUCUCAGUUCGGAUUGCAGUCUGCAACUCGACUGCAUGAAGUUGGAAUCGCUAGUAAUCGUGGAUCAGCACGCCGCGGUGAAUACGUUCCCGGGCCUUGUACACACCGCCCGUCACAUCACGAAAGUGGG